CACAAAUGAUGAACUUCUGACAGGCAGACAGAAAAUCUGUGCUGAUUGUCACCGAAGAAAAUUA
Small nucleolar RNA from Meriones unguiculatus (Mongolian gerbil), 64 nucleotides. RefSeq annotates it as small nucleolar RNA SNORD43. The transcript has a single exon. The record is from RefSeq and is a predicted model, not a curated record. NCBI's taxonomy places the organism in Eukaryota, Metazoa, Chordata, Mammalia, Rodentia, Muridae.